RNAcentral lists this non-coding RNA (27 nucleotides) under Homo sapiens (human). The record is from RNAcentral. Lineage: Eukaryota; Metazoa; Chordata; Mammalia; Primates; Hominidae.
UGGAAGCCAGAGGUGGGCUUAGCUAGG